AUUAGUAUUUAGUAUUUUUACAUAGUUAAAAACAUGUUUGGAGAGAAACUUUACAGUUGAAGUCAGAAGUUUCCAUAGACUUUGUUAGUAUUUGGUAGCAUUUCCUUGUUUAACUUGUGUCAAAUGUUUCAUGUAGCCUUCCACAAGCUUCUCACAAUAAGUUGCAGGAAUCUUGGUUUGUUCCUCCAGAUAGAGCUGGAGUAACUGAGUCAGGUUUGUAGCCCUCCUUGCGUGCACAAAUGUUCAAUUCAGGGCUUUGUAAUGGUCACUCCAAUACCUUGACUUUUUUGUCCUUAAGCUAUUUUGCCACAACUUUGGAAGUAUGCUUGGAGUCAUUGUCCAUCUGGAAAACCAAUUGCGACCAAGCUUUAACUCCCUGGCUGAUGAUUCGAGAUACUGCUAUAAUAUAUCCACAUAAUUUUCUUUCCUUGUGAUGCCCCCGUGUUUCCUGGUUGGGAUCGUAUUGUUCAGCUUGCAAGGCUGGCUCUGGGUAACAGUAAAUACAAAUAAUUGGACCCUGAAAACAUCCCCUGAUCUUUGCAGUAUAUAAAUUUACUGUUCAUAGUUGUUUGAGUGACUUAAACCAGGGUAGCCUCCAAUUUCCUAAAAGGAGGAAGCAGACAGGAAUACGUGCUUCACUGGGUGUUGCCUGUUACCAGCCUAAGCCACUAAGUUACUUGAUUUAUAAUCGUAAGACCAGGUAUUAUUUGCGUUUGGCAUCUGUUCACCAAUUUAUCAAGUGGAAGAUUUCCUAAUACUUUCAAUUUCCCAACAAUGCUGUGCUGUUUAUGUAAAUGACACGACAUCUGCUCCUGGACCUGUAUAUAAGGAAAGCUGAGCAUUCAGAACAACACUACAACAACCUCCUCGACCAUCUGCGAGACAGUCUGCUAAAGUUGUGAAGACUUGACGGUGUGAUCACUGAAACCAUGCUGAAGGUAGCACUUGUGCUUGGAUGCCUCCUGAGCCUCAUUCUGGCCAAUCCUAUGGACAUGGAACACCAACGAGUUGCCCGCUCAGGCUCUGAGUCCAAUGAGCAUUCCUCAAACAUGUUUCCUACGCAACAGUUGUUCCAGCUGCUCCUUAACCUCCUCCAGCAGCCAUCACCUGUUACUGCUCCACCGGCAGCAGCUGCCGCUAAUACCAAAUAAAAUCAGCAGUCUA
Seriola aureovittata is the source of this 1164-nucleotide long non-coding RNA. RefSeq lists it as uncharacterized. The transcript has 4 exons. NCBI's taxonomy places the organism in Eukaryota, Metazoa, Chordata, Actinopteri, Carangiformes, Carangidae. The record is from RefSeq and is a predicted model, not a curated record.